UUCUGUUCCAUCUUCAGUGAUAAGACAAUAUCUAGACAGGAGUAGCCCCACAAGUCCAAUUAAUCCCUACCUCUCUAGAGAGCCAUCCAUGAACAGCAACAACAAAAGUUAUUUUAUAGGAAUAAAGAAGGUGGGAUCCAGGAAGUCACAGAAAGACAUUCCAAGACUCUCAAUCAUGCCAGAAGCAGCAUCGGACACUGUUGUGGAUAUCCUGCCGUUUAGUGGCUGCACAAGUGGAUACUGAGAAUAGACUCCAUCAGGGUGUGCUCAGACAAAAGCAUGGCUUCCCCCAGCGAAGCCACGGGAAUACGCAGUGGAAGACCUACCUGGCCUCGAAUCACCAGGCAUGCAGCCGUUGCUGACUCUCAGGGCCGUGUUUAUCCAACAGAGCUGCGUAAGAUCCAGCAGAAGCAGCACUUUUUGCAUUGCUUUGAUCACAUAGGAUUUAGAAUGCUUAUUUUCUCAUUAGUUAUUCUCUCUUUGUGAGAAAAGCAUUAACUUCAUUAACUGGCUCUGACAAACCAAUUUGCUUUUAACAGCUGUACUCAAAACCAGACACCAUGCUCUGCGUCAUGGUUUUCAUCUGAAUCACAUAACUGAGUAUAAAUAUAGCUGUCAAUUGCUUCAUCUCUCCAAUAAUUCUGGAGACAUUUUCUUGCUAGGUAUCAAUAAAACCUCAAAUAAAAUAGACCAGAGCCUGUGAUGUCAUUUGG
Molecule: long non-coding RNA, 713 nt
Organism: Homo sapiens (human)
Lineage: Eukaryota; Metazoa; Chordata; Mammalia; Primates; Hominidae
Exons: 3
Source: RefSeq, a predicted model, not a curated record